GAGUUGAAUGCAAACAUUACAAAGUAGUUUCCGAGAAUGCUUUUAUCUAGUUUUUAUUUGAAGAUUUUCCUUUUCCACCACAGGCCUCAAAGCGCUCCAAAUAUCCACUUGCAGAUUUUACAAAAGAGUGUUUCAAAACUGCUCUAUCAACAGAAAGGUUCAACUCUGUGAGUUGAAUGCACUCAUCACAAAGAAGUUUCGGAGAAUGCUUCUGUC
This 216-nucleotide long non-coding RNA is filed under the name Homo sapiens (human). Its description in RNAcentral is "HSALNT0407664". Lineage: Eukaryota; Metazoa; Chordata; Mammalia; Primates; Hominidae. The record is from RNAcentral.